GAAUGGUUGGCGGGAGGUGGCUGGAGGGAUCUCUGGAGCCAUCGGCAUCGCGCCACCUCCAGGCCCAGUUGGGUGAUAGCCGGCUGAGCCCGGAUGUGGGGCACCUGGUGCUGACCACCCUCUGCCCGGCCCUCCACGCCCUGGUGGCGGACGGGCUGAAGCCUUUCCGGAAGGACCUCAUCACCGGGCAGCGCAGGAGCAGCCCCUGGAGCGUGGUGGAGGCGUCGGUGAAGCCAGGUGAGCCAGGAGGGCGUGGGACCCGGCAGUGCGCAGGGCAGGGCCGGGCUUGGCUGACUGCACCCCACGUUCUCAGGCUCCAGCACCCGCUCCCUUGGAACCCUGUAUAGCCAGGUCAGCCGUCUAGCCCCGCUGAGCAGCAGCCGUAGCCGCUUCCAUGCCUUUAUCCUGGGCCUCCUCAACACCAAGCAGUUGGAGCUGUGGUUUUCCAGUCUCCAGGAAGAUGCAGGCCUGCUCUCCCUCCUGUACCUGCCAACAGGAUUUUUCUCCCUGGCCCGCGGUGGCUGUCCCUCCCUGUCCACAGAGCUGCUGCUCCUGCUGCAGCCAUUGUCGGUGCUCACUUUCCACCUGGACCUGCUCUUUGAGCACCACCACCACCUGCCCCUGGGCCCACCUCAGGCCCCUGCCCCUCCAGGCCCACCUCCAGCUCUGCAGCAGACUAUGCAAGCCAUGCUGCACUUUGGGGGCCGGCUGGCCCAGAGCCUUCGGGGGACUUCCAAGGAAGCUGCUUCAGACCCCUCUGACUCUCCAAAC
RNAcentral lists this small RNA (771 nucleotides) under Pan troglodytes (chimpanzee). RNAcentral's name for it is "retained intron". The record is from RNAcentral. Lineage: Eukaryota; Metazoa; Chordata; Mammalia; Primates; Hominidae.